GACGGGGGGGGCAAGUGUUCUUCGGAAUGACUGGGCGUAAAGGGCACGUAGGCGGUGAAUCGGGUUGAAAGUGAAAGUCGCCAAAAAGUGGCGGAAUGCUCUCGAAACCAAUUCACUUGAGUGAGACAGAGGAGAGUGGAAUUUCGUGUGUAGGGGUGAAAUGCGCAGAUAUCAGGAGGAACACCGAUGGCGAAGGCAGCUCGCUGGGACGGUACUGACGCUGAGACGCGAAAGCGUGGGGAGCAAACAGG
This 251-nucleotide ribosomal RNA is filed under the name uncultured bacterium. RNAcentral's name for it is "partial 16S ribosomal RNA". It matches the Rfam family "Bacterial small subunit ribosomal RNA", at positions 524 to 776 of the family's 1533-position model. The record is from RNAcentral.